UUCCGGUUUUGGAAAAAAGAAAACUCAAUCAACCCAAUAGCUAUUUUGCUUUGGCUUGUGGCAGUAUUACUACUCAAGAAACUAGAAAACCCUUUCCCUCUUCUCUCUCUAUAUAUCCUAUUUUUCUUCUUUUCUGUUGCGUUUUUCGCUCUCAUUCCUCAACACACCACAUGCUGUGAAAUUCUUUCUCAUGCCGAUUCUUUCACAGCUCACUAAAAUUCAAAUCCUGGUACUGGAGGGUUGUGAAUUCUAGAUACUAUUAUAGCCUAAAUAUAACCUAUGAAGGCACGUUGGUGAGUGAGAGAAAGAGAAAAGAGAUCAGAAAAGAUGACGUCAUCAUCAAAUUCGCCUUGUGCGGCGUGCAAGGCUCAACGGCGAAAAUGCACGCAAGAGUGCGUGUUCGCACCGUAUUUUCCACCGGACAAUCCUCAAAGGUUCACAUACGUUCACAAAGUUUUCGGUGCGAGCAAUGUAACGAAGCUGCUCAACGAGCUUGACGCGACUCAGCGUGACGACGCCGUGAAGUCGUUGGCAUAUGAGGCUGAGGCUCGGCUUAGGGAUCCUGUUUACGGUUGCGUUGGGGUUAUCUCUGUUCUACAACAUAAGCUAAGACAAAUCCAAGGUGAACUCAACGAUGCUAAAAAAGAACUUGCAACUUAUAUUGGUCCUCAAGCACUUCAUGGUGUUCCCACAAACAUUAUUCAACAACAACAACCUAAUAACCCUUUUGUUAACUCUCUUUACCCUUAUAAUAAUGGGAAUGUUGCGGCGGCUGCACAGAUGAUGAUUUGUGACUCUCAACCACCACCGUCUCAACAUCCGAUCAUGGAAGCUCAGCAAUUAGCUGCUGCUCUUGUUGAAAGAGAGCAACAAGAGAUGUUAAGGAGUUUCGAACAUCAACAACAGCAGCAAGAGUUUUUGAGGUUCAGUGGUGGGUUUGAUGUGGAUUCUGGUUCUUCCGGUGGUGGUUUCAACCAAAUGUCUCCUGCUGCUGCUGCUGCUGUGGCUUCUAGCGAUCAAUUGUCUCCUUCUUUGACUUUGGGAUCUUUUGAUAAUACUUAUCACCACAUGCAGCAAGUACAAGGAGAACCUCAACCUCAUCAUCAUCCACUUCAGGCACAUGCACAGCUACUUCUUCCACCUCAGCAGAAACAAGUGCAGACACAAACUCACCAACAACAGACGGAAAGCGAGGAGUGUAGGAGUGUUGGUCCUUCUUGUUGAAUUUCAAAUUUUGCAGCUCUUGUCAUUUCCUACUUGUUUGUCAAACAGUUUUCAGCUUAGGUUUUACCGUACGAAUACAAAUGGAUAGAGAGAAAGAGAAGAGAGAUAUAAAGUAUAUAUGCGAUCGAGGUUCAUAAAUCCGCAUUGUUUUGCUUGUCUUCGAAGGAGACUCACAAGGCACAAUUGAAAAUGGCUGAUGAUCUUACAGACUUUCUUCUAUGAAUCUUAAGCAGUAGCUACGUUUUAAUUAAUUCCCUUUUUAUGGUUCAAAACUAAACUGUAAAUCAGAAUUCAGAAAACUUUUAAAGGCUUUGAUUAUUUAUUAGCCCUAUCUUAUAAAUUUUAUUAUAAGGGCAUAACCAUUUGAUUAGUUUUUGAAUACAUAUAUAAGGGGCUUCUAUUAUCCCCAAUCUCGAAAACACGAGAUCAUUCUUUU
Molecule: non-coding RNA, 1660 nt
Organism: Cicer arietinum (chickpea)
Lineage: Eukaryota; Viridiplantae; Streptophyta; Magnoliopsida; Fabales; Fabaceae
Source: RefSeq, a predicted model, not a curated record